AACGUUAGGAUAGUAUGCAGGGACCCACGCCCUCCAUCACGCCUAGGACUCCUGGAAAGAGGUCUUGGCACACAAAGCCAGACCCGAGGUGUGGAAAAUGGGAAAGAACCAACUUCAGGCAACCGAAGCAAACAGGUCGUGGCGGAGAAAUCGAGGAGACGGGUCUCCCCACUCGCUGAGGAUUCUUUAUUCCAAGAUGUUAGUAGGAGGCAAACAGAUUGUUACAGCCUUCUGGCUUCUUCCAGACGAUGGCAGUGGACUGGCCCUAACUCAGGAAACAGAGCGAUCUGGGAGGGCCAAGGCCACAGGAGAAGGACACAAAAGUCCUGGAGAAAAGGA
Phodopus roborovskii (desert hamster) is the source of this 339-nucleotide long non-coding RNA. RefSeq lists it as uncharacterized. The transcript is spliced from 3 exons. NCBI's taxonomy places the organism in Eukaryota, Metazoa, Chordata, Mammalia, Rodentia, Cricetidae. The record is from RefSeq and is a predicted model, not a curated record.